AUACGGAGGGUGCAAGCGUUAUUCGGAAUCACUGGGCGUAAAGCGCGAGCAGGCGGCCAUUUAAGUUGGAUGUGAAAGCCUACGGCUCAACCGUAGAACUGCAUCCAAAACUAUUUGGCUAGAGUGUGGGAGAGGAAGAUGGAAUUAGUUGUGUAGGGGUAAAAUCCGUCGAGAUAACUAGGAAUACCAAAAGCGAAGGCAAUCUUCUGGAACACUACUGACGCUGAGGCGCGAAAGCGUGGGGAGCAAACGGGAUUAGAAACCCUAGUAGUCC
RNAcentral lists this ribosomal RNA (274 nucleotides) under uncultured bacterium. RNAcentral's name for it is "partial 16S ribosomal RNA". It matches the Rfam family "Bacterial small subunit ribosomal RNA", at positions 523 to 796 of the family's 1533-position model. The record is from RNAcentral.